GAAGCUGCGGCAGCGACACUGUGUGUUGUUGGGUAGGGGAGCGUUCUGUAAGCCUGUGAAGGUGUGUCGUGAGGCAUGCUGGAGGUAUCAGAAGUGCGAAUGCUGACAUAAGUAACGAUAAAGCGGGUGAAAAGCCCGCUCGCCGGAAGACCAAGGGUUCCUGUCCAACGUUAAUCGGGGCAGGGUGAGUCGACCCCUAAGGCGAGGCCGAAAGGCGUAGUCGAUGGGAAACGGGUUAAUAUUCCCGUACUUGGUGUUACUGCGAAGGGGGGACGGAGAAGGCUAUGUUGGCCGGGCGACGGUUGUCCCGGUUUAAGCGUGUAGGUGUGUGUUCCAGGUAAAUCCGGUUCACUUUAACACUGAGGCGUGACGACGAGGCACUACGGUGCUGAAGCAACAAAUGCCCUGCUUCCAGGAAAAGCCUCUAAGCAUCAGGUAACAUCAAAUCGUACCCCAAACCGACACAGGUGGUCAGGUAGAGAAUACCAAGGCGCUUGAGAGAACUCGGGUGAAGGAACUAGGCAAAAUGGUGCCGUAACUUCGGGAGAAGGCACGCUGACACGUAGGUGAAGUGAUUUACUCAUGGAGCUGAAGUCAGUCGAAGAUACCAGCUGGCUGCAACUGUUUAUUAAAAACACAGCACUGUGCAAACACGAAAGUGGACGUAUACGGUGUGACGCCUGCCCGGUGCCGGAAGGUUAAUUGAUGGGGUCAGCGCAAGCGAAGCUCCUGAUCGAAGCCCCGGUAAACGGCGGCCGUAACUAUAACGGUCCUAAGGUAGCGAAAUUCCUUGUCGGGUAAGUUCCGACCUGCACGAAUGGCGUAAUGAUGGCCAGGCUGUCUCCACCCGAGACUCAGUGAAAUUGAACUCGCUGUGAAGAUGCAGUGUACCCGCGGCA
Molecule: ribosomal RNA, 899 nt
Filed under: Salmonella enterica
Lineage: Bacteria; Pseudomonadati; Pseudomonadota; Gammaproteobacteria; Enterobacterales; Enterobacteriaceae
Description: partial 23S ribosomal RNA
Rfam family: Bacterial large subunit ribosomal RNA
Source: RNAcentral